RNAcentral lists this non-coding RNA (1303 nucleotides) under Schistocephalus solidus. RNAcentral describes it as "Eukaryotic large subunit ribosomal RNA". It matches the Rfam family "Eukaryotic large subunit ribosomal RNA", at positions 2389 to 3401 of the family's 3401-position model. Lineage: Eukaryota; Metazoa; Platyhelminthes; Cestoda; Diphyllobothriidea; Diphyllobothriidae. The record is from Rfam by way of RNAcentral.
CAAAAUCAGCAGGGAAAGAAGACCUUGUUGAGCUUGACUCUAGUCAGACUCUGUGAAGAGAUAUGGCGGGUGAAAUAAUCAGUGGGAGGCGGAAAUCACCACUCGGGGUCUCUGGUUCGACAAUGAACGACCACUCCCAUCAUUGUUUCUUUACUUUUUCAGUGAAGCGUGAACUGUCAAUUAUUUUCCAUGUUGACAUUAAGCACACGUUAGUGCGUUGGUCGCACCCCGUAUGUGGCUGGCGUGCAGGCGUCUUGGUCGCAACUGUCUGGCCAGAGCUAGUGAUAUGCGUGUUUUGCCCUCUACUGCCUGUAGGCUGUUGCCACAAGGUGGCAUUCCAUAGUUGGUAGACGGUGGGCGCGUGUGUCAUGUCUUGGUGCUAUCAGGCAGGUUUGGCGACGUGCGACACGAUCUGAAGACAGUGUCCGGCGGGGAGUUUGACUGGCGGUGGUACAUCUGUCAAAUUUUAACGCAGGUGUAACAAGGUGAGCUCAGCCAAGACACAAACCUUGCGAAGAGUAAUAUGGCAAAAGCUUACUUAAUUUUGAUUCUUACUACGAAUACAGGCCGUGAAAGCAUGGCCUAGGGAUCCUUUUGAUCAACUGAUAUUCAGAUUUCGAAACAAGCGUUGUCAGAAAAGAUACCACAGGGGUUACUGGCUUUUAGCGGCCAAGCGUUCAUAGCGACUUCUUUUUUAUCCUUCGAUGUCAUCUCUUCCUAUCAUUGAAGAGCAGAAUUCCCCAAGCGUUGAAUUGUUCACCCAUUAAUAGGGAACGGUAGCUGGGUUAAGAAGGUCGUGAGAAAGUUUACUUUUUCCCUACUGAUGGUUGAACUGUGUAAACAGUGAAGUGCAAUCUGGCCGUUUCAAUGGUAAUCCUGUUUAGUUCGAGAGGAACCGCAGCUUCAGACAUUUGGUACAUGUGCCUGGUCAAACGGCCAAUGGUGCGAAGUCACCACCUGAGGGAUUAAGAGUGAACGCUUCUAAGUCGGAAUUCCAUCCAAAGAUGCGCAACGAUACAGCUUGGCUUGUAAGGUGGUUGGGCAGAUAUAGUACUUUGCAGUUUGGUUUAAUUCGGAUAAGGCAAGCGUGCCCUACCGAACCUGGUCAGUUCGGUUAUGUUAUGCCAGAACUUUGACCGGGACAUGGUGUUGUGGGUGUCGACAAGAUAUCCAAUUGAGGUAUGUGCGUGACGGCACUAAAUCUUUUGAAGAUUACUUAAUGUUUUGUCGGGAAGACGUGCGAAUUCGAGCAGCUAUCACACUGCGAUGUAUUAAGUCCUAUCCCUACCCGAAGUGAGGAUUU